CAGCAGCCGCGGUAAUACGAGGGGGGCAAGCGUUGUUCGGAUUUAUUGGGCGUAAAGGGUGCGUAGGCGGUUUGGCAAGUCUUGUGUGAAAUCUUCGGGCUCAACCCGAAGCCUGCACGAGAAACUACCGGGCUUGAGUAUUGGAGAGGUGAGUGGAAUUUCCGGUGUAACGGUGAAAUGCGUAGGUAUCGGAAGGAACACCUGUGGCGAAAGCGGCUCACUGGACAAUAACUGACGCUGAUGCACGAAAGCUAGGGGAGCAAACAGGAUUAGAUACCCCUGUAGUCCCUGUCUCUUAUAC
This 301-nucleotide ribosomal RNA is filed under the name uncultured bacterium. RNAcentral's name for it is "partial 16S ribosomal RNA". It matches the Rfam family "Bacterial small subunit ribosomal RNA", at positions 509 to 807 of the family's 1533-position model. The record is from RNAcentral.